CGCGGCCUCCCAAAGUACUGGGAUUACAGGCGUGAGCCACCGCGCCAGCCAAUCUUGUGCCUAUCUUUAAAUUAAAAACAAAAUUUACAAAUUACAAAACAAAAAUAAGUAAAUAGUUGACCUGGCUCAUCGAAAGAUAUGGCUCUCCUUUCUCAAAAACAAAACAAAAAAAGGGAAAAAAUGUCCUUCAAGUAUGAGAUACAUACCUGUAUAUAGACAGAGAGAGAGAGAGUAAAUGAGUCAAUAACUUCGGAUGAAUCAAAGGAGUAGAAAAGUAUAAAAGAAAUGGGAGAAUUGUAGGGUCCACAAGACAGCAGGCACGGGGUGACUCCGGGGCUCUGCUGGCUCCUCUAUGGGUUUACCACUGCCCACGGGUGGAUCAGGCCCUGGCCUGAAAGGAACCCUCGCAAGGGCAGAUAUUUACCGCCUCCUCCCUAUCGUUGGAAACAAGUGCUCAUUGUAGCCCAAAGAAACUCACGCUUAGACAGAAAAUUCCUCAGCAAGACACCUUUACUUCUGCAGAAGAGUGCUGCUUGCACCUGUUACAAUCGCAAGAGCACAACGAACAAAAGCGGGAAGGAGUUUUUAAUACUAACGCAGUUCCUGUUUCUAUGUUCUUCCCCUGUUGGCUGGGGUUGGACUGCACAAUCUAAGCUGAUCCUGACUGGCUAAAACUUAAACUUUUCCAAAUAGGGUAAACCCACCAUUUGUGAAAAGAAGAGGUGGGGCGGGGGGGAGCGGGGGGUAGGAUUGAUUUACAACUUUUACAACUUAUGACCAGAAAGUUGAGUCUUUGAAGAGCAACUUAGUUGUCCCAACCAUUUCCCCUCUUCUGUUUUAUAGUUCUUCCUCUUCAAAUUUCUUCAACAGGAUUUGUUUUUUUUUUUUUUGUUCUUCUUGAUUAUCUAAGAGCAAGAGCUUAUCUGAAUACAGAGGGGGAAAGGUGAGGGAGGUUUUUGUAAGAGCUGCUUCUAUGAGCCUUUGGGUUAACCCACGAAUACAAGGUAUGAUACAGCAGCUCACAAGGAUGAGUACAUCUGUAACAAUCGCAAGGAAGGUAAAGACUGAGGUCAUGAGUCCUUUCCAUUUUCCAAACCACCUUUCCAUCAGGCCCAUAAAGGGGUCGUCUAUUCCAGAGUUUUCCGCUAAUUCACUUGCUAGGGUGGUAAGGCCUUGCAAGGCUUUUGUGAUUGUCCCGUCAGGGGCUGUAUUAUUAGGAAUAAAAAAGUACAACACUGGACCCCGAUCAUGACACAAAGUCUGCCCUUUUCAGCUAACAUCAUGUCAAGGGCUAUUCUAGUUUCCCAGGCCAUCUGGCUCGUUGGGUCUAACUGUUCAGCUAUUCCUUUUAUGGCAUCUCUGGUAUAAUUGACAAAUUGCUCCUGAUUGUAGUAUAUAUAAUUUAUCCAGUCUACAUUUUUGUUAAUAGUGGACCACCAGAAUAAGAUAGGCUCGAACCCGGUGGCUAUUUGGUUUCAAGCUUUGAAUUCAUUUGGUACCCCCUGCGGGACCCCGAUACUGUCUAUGUAAUGUGCAGGUCAAAGGACCCGUGAAAGGCUUCUCUUUUUCUUCAGGUUACUUGCUUCCUGUCUGGUUGAUGAAAUGCCAAGGUGAAAGGGAUGGCUAAUUGGAUCAGAGCGCAAGUGCUGCUCCAGUUGCUUGGCAGUGUACCCAAUGUUGGUCCCCCACAAUACUGCUCAGGGAUAGACUAGGUCCCACACAUCUGCUUGGGGAUAGACUAGGGCUGACUGAGUGGUUAGCUCUUAAAAAAGUUUAGGCCCACUACAUCCCGUCAGGUUUCCAAGGUAUGUCAAAUGUUUCCCUUGCUGUGAGAGACACAAGGUAAAAUUGGCAUCGAGAGCUGGAGAUUAAAUGUCCCUUGGGGGCAGUUCCAUAGGGCUCUUUACCUUUGGGAAAAGUAGUGAAAGAGUGGUGCAUGACUUGUUUCCCCAGGCUGUGGGAUGCUGGAAGAGGCCUACCAUAAAAUCCAUGCCAAGUUGGUUGGCCCAUCCAUGUGGGAAAGGAACAAUUUGGGUUUGUUGGCCUGCCCAUUGCACAAGCGUAACCAUUGCUUUUAUUUAGAGUGCGAACAGAAUAUUUAAUCCGUUCCAGCCAGGCAUUUAUAUCUUGAUACCUGGUUUCUAUGGUUAGGGUUUGCUUCAAGUCCUUGACAUCUACUAUAGCUACUUGGUUUUGUCAUUCGGCAUGAAGCGAGAAAUGGUUUAAUUGUGUGGGAGGGGGUAAUGGUACAAGAUGGAGAAGGAGGAACCAAGCACAUUUCAAAGAAGCCUAUAGGGUCCUUUCCAGUGAUAUCUGCUCCUAGGCCAUAAAAGCGCUCUAAAGUGGGUGCAGGGUUAGUGGAGGUAGGGGUAUUAAUAGAGAUAAGUACUGGGUUGCAAUGGUGAGAUUGGCAAUUAGAGGGGGUGGUUCCUUUGGUGAAGUGGAGGUAGGGUUUUAGGGCGGUGCAACCCUCUGAGGAGGUCCAGCCCUGAUACUUGGUAGUCCAUAUAACAUCUCCCCAAGUAUAGCAAAACCACUAAUGCCAGAUUCAUGCCCGUUCAGUGCAAGAGUCAGUUUUGUAGGCAGUACAGUCUAUCUUAGAGGGACAAAGUUACUUUUCUGAAGAGGCUAGCUGUCUUUCACUUUGGACAUCCCUGCAGGGCAUGACAAGACAGGCAUCAAAUGUAAUUGUUUUGGGGGAGGGUGACUGGGUUAUACUGAUGAUAAGAUAUCCUUGGGUAGCUAAAGAAAGAAGAAAAAGACAGAUUAAACCCUUUUGAAUGUUAGUUUGGGGGCUGUCGACAGUCCAUGACUUUGCAAGGGAUGGGGCCUUUUUCACUCAAGUGUGGUGGGUCCAUCCUUUUUCGGCCAUUCAGAUUGCUGUUUCGGUGGUUAGGAGUACUAGAUAAGGUCCCUCCCAUGUUGGUUCGAGCUUUCCCUCUUUCCAACUUUUGAUGAGGCUGGUGUUGGUUAACUGGGAAUUCGAGGGCAAUGUAAGACAAUGGGAAGGCAUUUUGUCCAUGGUAACCAGGUUUCAAAGAUUAAUUUGGUUAGGAGAUUUUUUUAGAGUUUGAUUCAUUCUUUCUACCCUCCCUGAUGAGGGCGGGUGCCAGGGAGUAUGAUAUUCCCAUUUUAUUCCUAGUACUUGGGUUAGCCCCUUAAUGAUGUGUGCAAUGAAGUGGGUCCCAUUUUCCAGAUGAACGUUCUCUGUUAGUCCAAACCUGCAUAUGAUAUGUUCCAAAAGGGCUUUGACUGCAUUACUAGCUGUUGUGCUUGGGAAGGGGAUGGCCUCUCUCCAGUGGGUGAGAUGGUCUACUAUUACUACUAAAUACUUAAGACGGCCUAUUGGGGGCGUUUCAGUGUAGUCAACUUGGAUGCUUUGGAACGGCCUCAACCCUGGGUUUCUUCCCCCGGGAGGUUGCCUCUUUAGGGUUUGCUUAUUAGUUUUUCUGCACCAUCCGCCACUUGCCUAGUGAAGGUAUAUAUCCCUACACACCCAUAGACUCUAAGGACUGCAUCGCACAUAGCUUGAGGACCCCAGUGAGUUCCUUGGUGAAGCUGUGACAAUAUUUCCCUCAUGAGGGGUUUAGACAGCAUUUCCCUUCCAUCUGUCCACACCCACUUCCCCUCUGGGCUUUCCUUAGCUCCUAUUUUCUUGAGUUUCUCUUGGUCUGUGUGGGAGAAGAUGGAGAUCACAGCUGGAGGGGGAAGACAAGGGGUUAGAUGGAAAAUGGGUGCCUCUUGGGAAUAGGCAGCUUGCUAGCUUGCUUAGCUACUUAAUCUGUGAGGUUAUUUCCCGGCUUUCAAAAGAUGGGUUAUUUUGGUGUCCUGGGACAUGGACAACUGCAAUCUCUUCCGGCAGCUGAAGAUUUUCUAGCACUUGCAUAAUUAAUUCCUUGUGGGCCAAAUCUUGGCCCUUACUAUUGAUGAGGCCUCGUUCAGUCCAGAUCUUUUCCGAAGGCAUACUUGGAGUAAGUGUAAAUAGUUCCUUCCUGAUUCUGCAGGGAUUUUAAGGCUUGGUUUAAUGCAAAGAGUUCACAUAUUUGGGCAGACCACUUAUUUGGCAGUCUUUCUGACUCUACCACUGUGAGGGUUUCCCUAUCAACUAUGGAGUACCCGUUGUGCCUUUUUCCUUCAAUGACCUGGGAGGAGCCGUCUAUAAAGAGGUGAUGCCCUGUUUGGAAGGGGGUUUCAUGCCUGGAUGCGGUCUGACUCUAGUUUGAAAACUGAUUAGAUCUAAGCAGUUAUGCUCACAUUCCUCCUGGUUUGGAUUUCCUGUUAGGAAAGCAGCGGGGUUGAGUGAAUUGUCAGUGGUUAGUGUUAGGUUAUCUCCCUCUAAUAAGAUAGCUUCAUAUUUUAAAAUCCUUGAGUCAGUGAGCCAUCUCCCUGCCUUCUGAUUAAGAAUGGUUCUGACUUGAUGAGGGGCACUUACGAAGAGGUUUCCCCCAAAGGUUAUUUUCCUGCUUUCUUCUGUUAGCAAGGCAGUUGCUGCUAUGGAUUGAACACAUUCGGGCCAUCCACGGGUUACUGGGUCAAGGAUUUUUGACAGAAAGACUACAGGCUGCCGGUGGCCUCCAUGUUUUUGGGUGAGUACCCCUAAGGCCACUCCUUUGCUUACAUUAAUGAAAAGAUGGAAUGGCUGUUCUAAGGAGGGCAAAGUUAGAACAGGGGCAGUUACAAGUAGGUGUUUUAAUUCUUUUACCGUUGGAUCUCUGAUGGGGUCCAAAGGAGGGGGUCUGGUCCUUCUUGAGUGAGUUUUUGAUAUAGGGGCUUUGUUUUUAAGGCAUAAGAGUCAGUCCACAGAUGACAAUAUCCAACCAAUCCUAAUAAUUUCCUAAGUUCCUGCUUUGUUUCAGGUAAAGGCAAAGACAGGAUACCUUCAAUUCGUUCGGAUCCUAUCUUUCGUUCACCUUUACUGAUUAGGUGUCCUAGAUAUUUUACCUCAGAUUCUAUGAAUUGGAUGUUGUUCUUUGAGACCCGUAAUCCUUGUCCCCUUAGGAAAUUUAGGAAGUUAACUGAAAUUGCUGUUACUUGAUCCUUGUUAUCUCCUGAAAUGAGCAGGACAUCUACGUAUUUGAGUAGGCAUAUGGAUGAAGGCAGGGAGAAGUUUUCUAGGACUUGCUCUAAAAUAUGACCAAAUAGAUUUGGGGACUCUGUAAACCUUGGGGCAAGACUGUCCAUCGACCGGAGUGAGGGUCCUCUCACUCAAAGGCAAAUUUGUCCCAGCUGUCCUCUGCUAAAGGGCAAGCCCAAAAGGCAUCAUUUAAAUCUGUCACCGUGAACCAUUGGUGGUUAUGCGGGAUUCUACUGAAAAUGGUGUAAGGAUUGGGAACAACAGGGUGGAUGGUCUGAACUAUUUGGUAAAUAGCCCAGAGGUCUUGCACUAGCUGGUAUGACCCGUCUGACUUCCUUACAGGCAAUAUUGGAGUGUUAUAAGGGGACAUACAGGGUUCAAGUCUUUCAAUUACAGGUUUUAAAACUAUCCUGGUUUUAAACCUAUCCUGGCUUCCAAGGGAAUAGGGUAUUGUUUUCGUGGACAAGGCUUUCAAUUAUAGGUUAUAAACCUAUCCUGGCUUCCAAGGGAAUAGGGUAUUGUUUUUGUUUCACUAUUUCCCCAGGAGUUUUUAAUUUGACAUGGAUUGGAGGAACCCAUCCUCGAUUCCCUUCUUUCGACCAUACGUUGGGAUGGAUGCGGCUUUCUUCUGAAGUGGUGAGUACGUUUAAGGAAGUAAGGAGUUUUCCUUGAUUAACAUAUAGGCCUGUGCCUAACCUUAACAUUAAGUCCCUUCCUAAUAAAUUAGUUCCUGCUUCAGGAAUUAAGAAGAACUUAGUAGCAACCGACUUAUUCUUAUAUUUGACUUCGGUUUCCUCUAGAAUUUUUGCUCUGAAUCCUUCCCCUUUAACUCCUGAGACAGUAAGGUCUUCGGCUGAACAGGAUAAAUCUGAUGGGAGAAAACAUAGGCAGGAGCCAGCUGCUCCCGAAUUGACCAGGAAAGUGACUAUUUCCAAUUUGGGUCCCACCGUUAAAUUUAUCAAGGGCUCUUGGUGGGACUCAAGAUGGAAGACGUAGAGCCCCUGAGCCCACUGUUCUUCAAAUGUCAUGAGUGAAAGGACUUUCUUUUCCCUCUCCCAUUCGGGACAUUUCCUCUUAAAAUGUCCUGGCUUUCCACAUCUGAAACAUCUGUUUUUCCUUCUCCCCCUCCUGGUUCCCUGAUUCUCAGGUUUCGUCCCUUUGCUUCCUGUAUAGGGUCUGGCAGCCUGGUACUCAGAAGGUUUACAAGUUCUAUUUCCCUGGGAUGCCUGUUGAAAAGUUCCCUGUUGUAGGGUGGACAGCAUAAUUUUUGCCUUUUGCUUCUGCCUUUCCUCAUCCCUCCGUACAUAUACCUUUUGGACCUCUCUUUAAAGUUCCUCUAUGGGACAGUCUUUCUAAUUUUCUAUCUUUUAUAAUUUCUUUAUAGUGUCUGGCCAACUAUUGGUGACAAAGUGGAGCUUUAACAUCCUUUGUCCUAGUGGGUCCUCUAUGUCCAAACCUGCGUAUUUUCUUAUCUGUUCCUUAAGUCUGUUUAAGAAUUCCAUGGGCCCUUCAUCUUUCUCUUGCUGUACAUUAAAUGCUUGGGAAAUGUUUUGGGUUGGAGGAACUGAUUCCUGAAUCCCUUUAAUUAUCAUAUCCCUAUCUCUCAUGUUUUCCCGGUGAGCCGCACUGUUGUUAUCCCAUUGAGGGUCCUGGGCCGGGAAUUUAUGCUCUGCUGCAAGGACAUUCUGACGAGGGGGGUGCUUGCGCUCCCAGGCUAUCAUAGCAGCCUUGCAGAUCAUGGUUCUUUCCUCUCCUAAGAAGAGAAUACCUAGAAUAGACAUCAAUUCAGCCCAGGUAUACAGUUGUGGCCCCAUAAAUUGGUCAAUUUGAUCUGAGACUCCAAAAGGGUCAUCUAACAGUGGUUUGAGUCUCCUUUUUAGAUUUCUAACUUCUUCACUAGCUAAGGGGGGCAUUUACGAAGCCAAUAUCCCCUCCUCCUAGUGGUACUUCCCUCAAGGGAAAAAAGGUUGGGGCAGACUUCUUUGAAGAGAGGAAAGGAAAGUUUUGAAUAUCCCUUUGGCAUUGUUCUAUUUGCCACUGGAGCUUUCCUAAGGGAGGGGCAUGUUCGAGUGGCUGUCCAACGGGGGUGUGUGGUGUCAAGGCCCAUGGGGCAGGGUUAUAUGGGGGAGGGACGGAGUUUUAGCUUGGGGCAGAGGGGUAGGUGCGGGAAGGGCUGUUGUUCAGUCGGGGCGGAGAGGUAGGCAGGGGAAGGUGGUCUAGAGGAUCCCGUGCAUCUUUGGAUAUAGAAUAUGACUUAGCUAGGUCGUCUUUGGGGGGUUUUGAGUUUGGCUUUGCUUUUUCGUCCUUUAAGGGAUAGAGAAGGACAGGUCCUUGUCUCCAACAUAGAGCAUAAUCUAUCUCCUCUUGAGAAACUGGGCUUUUAUCAUUGACAUACUGGAUCAGGAGUUGGCAUAUCCAGUCCUCGUCCCACCCAAACUUUGGCCAAAAGACCGAAGGUCUGAGGAUGGGUUCCUUAGUCCAAAUAAAACAGCAGUACUUUAUCAUUUGCUGUCUUUUCUUGUGUUUGGUCCUUUCAUUAUCCUUCCAGUAUUUUAACAUUAGGCCUAGGGGACUGUGAGGGAAAUUUUAUUGUCUGCUUGGCCUUUUAGAGUCUCUGUCUUACUUGGGGUUAUUUCCCAUCCUGGAGGUUGGUGAGGCUUAAUAUAUAAUAUUAGAGAUCUCUUGCACUCCCGUGUCUUAGAGGCUCAACCUCCCCUUUUUCCACUGGAGGUUUCUUGCACUCUCGUGAGCACUCACUUCGUCCUUAUUGGCUGCUUCCCUUGCGGGAAUUUUAGGCACCUCUUAGCAUUGGCGGGUAGGUGGAAUCCCCUGAUUGGAAAACCGCCCUAAGCCGUAUGAGGUGACCACGGAACCAAGUCCGGACUCCGCACUCGCCUUGCGCCCAGUGAAUUCUUAAGGAUCCUCCCUACUGUCCGCGUUGCUGAGAGUCCGGAUUUAUUCGUCACUUCGGGCGGGACUCGAUCCUCCGCUCCUGGGGCCACCACGAGGCAAUGGGACGCGUCUCCCCAUGAAAGAUAAUCGCUAGCCCCUCCCGAAGGAGAAUGGGAUCCCGGACGAGUCCCUAAGAUUUACUGGAAACAAGUGCUUGGUGUAGCCAAAAGAAACCCUCACUUAGAAAAUUCCUCAGCAAGGCAUCUUUACUUCUGCAGAAGGGUGCUCCUUGCCUGUUACAAUUGCAAGAGCACACCAAACAAAGGAGAUGUGGGUGUCUUGGUCUUCCCGGGACGGAAGGAGUCAGAGACUCUUGAAAGGAGCCGUCCCGCUGGUCCUUUCAUUUACGCCGAUGCCAGCCCGGCACUCGAGCAUCACCAAGGGCCCGGUGCCCGGCACUGCAGGGCCAAGUCUGAUUUUAUCGUUUGUGGAGCUGCAAGCUUAGGACGCACAGCUGUGAAUUUCGGGUCCUGGUGACUGCGGAACCACCGCGAGGCCAGGAGGCGAGACAGUGCACUUUCCCAGGUUCCCAGGCCUAAGAGCCCACCUGGCUGGAAUGGUCUCAAGGAGCAGAGAGGAAUCCGCACCCUCCGAGUCCUCCGAACCCUCCGAUCCUGCGAACCUGCGGCGGCUCUGCGGUUGGUUCCGUGAGGAACUGGCCGCGAUCGCAAGCUUGGAGCUGCUUUUUGGUUUGUUCUGAGUCCUUCACCUGGUGAGGGGAAGGAAGCCCUGCUUGGGGUCGUUGAAUCUGAGUUUUCUCCAGUCAGAAUCAGUGGUUUGAGAUUGUUUUCCCUGAAACAGCAUGGUUUUCCUGUGCCUACAGUGAGGAAUUCUCCUUUUCUUAAAAAAAAAUAUAUUUUAUUAAUAAAAGGGAAAGUAACGCUUCUAUUACAAAAAAAAAAAAAUUCAGCGGGCAUGGAUCAGGUAUGAUUUAAAUAAACAUAAGAAAAGACCCUCCCACCAAGGAGGCCGGUUAGCUCAGUUGGUUAGAGCGUGGUGCUAAUAACGCCAAGGUCGCGGGUUCGAUCCCCGUACGGGCCACUUCCGUGGGUUUGUUUUUUUUUUUUUUCUUCUUUUUCGUUUUUAUUUUACACCGACCACACCUCGCUUGUAAACUUCGGUUUUACAUCGAACUCCGUAGCCUCGCCUAUCCAUUUAUAAAUGUAGUUGCACUAGCUAGACAG
This 9210-nucleotide long non-coding RNA is filed under the name Homo sapiens (human). RNAcentral describes it as "HSALNT0103063". The stretch from base 8994 to 9067 matches the Rfam family "tRNA". The record is from RNAcentral. Lineage: Eukaryota; Metazoa; Chordata; Mammalia; Primates; Hominidae.